GACGAACGCUGGCGGCGUGCUUAACACAUGCAAGUCGAACGGAAAGGCCCUGCUUUUGUGGGGUGCUCGAGUGGCGAACGGGUGAGUAACACGUGAGUAACCUGCCCUUGACUUUGGGAUAACUUCAGGAAACUGGGGCUAAUACCGGAUAGGAGCUCCUGCUGCAUGGUGGGGGUUGGAAAGUUUCGGCGGUUGGGGAUGGACUCGCGGCUUAUCAGCUUGUUGGUGGGGUAGUGGCUUACCAAGGCUUUGACGGGUAGCCGGCCUGAGAGGGUGACCGGCCACAUUGGGACUGAGAUACGGCCCAGACUCCUACGGGAGGCAGCAGUGGGGAAUAUUGCACAAUGGGCGGAAGCCUGAUGCAGCAACGCCGCGUGCGGGAUGACGGCCUUCGGGUUGUAAACCGCUUUCGCCUGUGACGAAGCGUGAGUGACGGUAAUGGGUAAAGAAGCACCGGCUAACUACGUGCCAGCAGCCGCGGUGAUACGUAGGGUGCGAGCGUUGUCCGGAUUUAUUGGGCGUAAAGGGCUCGUAGGUGGUUGAUCGCGUCGGAAGUGUAAUCUUGGGGCUUAACCCUGAGCGUGCUUUCGAUACGGGUUGACUUGAGGAAGGUAGGGGAGAAUGGAAUUCCCGGUGGAGCGGUGGAAUGCGCAGAUAUCAGGAGGAACACCAGUGGCGAAGGCGGUUCUCUGGGCCUUUCCUGACGCUGAGGAGCGAAAGCGUGGGGAGCGAACAGGCUUAGAUACCCUGGUAGUCCACGCUGUAAACGGUGGGUACUAGGUGUGGGGUCCAUUCCACGGGUUCCGUGCCGUAGCUAACGCUUUAAGUACCCCGCCUGGGGAGUACGGCCGCAAGGCUAAAACUCAAAGGAAUUGACGGGGCCCCGCACAAGCGGCGGAGCAUGCGGAUUAAUUCGAUGCAACGCGUAGAACCUUACCUGGGUUUGACAUGGAUCGGGAGUGCUCAGAGAUGGGUGUGCCUCUUUUGGGGUCGGUUCACAGGUGGUGCAUGGCUGUCGUCAGCUCGUGUCGUGAGAUGUUGGGUUAAGUCCCGCAACGAGCGCAACCCUUGUUCACUGUUGCCAGCACGUUAUGGUGGGGACUCAGUGGAGACCGCCGGGGUCAACUCGGAGGAAGGUGGGGAUGACGUCAAGUCAUCAUGCCCCUUAUGUCCAGGGCUUCACGCAUGCGACAAUGGCUGGUACAGAGAGUGGCGAGCCUGUGAGGGUGAGCGAAUCUCGGAAAGCCGGUCUCAGUUCGGAUUGGGGUCUGCAACUCGACCUCAUGAAGUCGGAGUCGCUAGUAAUCGCAGAUCAGCAACGCUGCGGUGAAUACGUUCCCGGG
This 1343-nucleotide ribosomal RNA is filed under the name uncultured bacterium. Its description in RNAcentral is "16S ribosomal RNA". It matches the Rfam family "Bacterial small subunit ribosomal RNA", at positions 28 to 1378 of the family's 1533-position model. The record is from RNAcentral.